This 77-nucleotide transfer RNA is filed under the name Rhodospirillaceae bacterium. RNAcentral's name for it is "tRNA-His". It matches the Rfam family "tRNA". From Rfam's summary of the family: Transfer RNA (tRNA) molecules are approximately 80 nucleotides in length. Their secondary structure includes four short double-helical elements and three loops (D, anti-codon, and T loops). Further hydrogen bonds mediate the characteristic L-shaped molecular structure. tRNAs have two regions of fundamental functional importance: the anti-codon, which is responsible for specific mRNA codon recognition, and the 3' end, to which the tRNAs corresponding amino acid is attached (by aminoacyl-tRNA synthetases). tRNAs cope with the degeneracy of the genetic code in two manners: having more than one tRNA (with a specific anti-codon) for a particular amino acid; and 'wobble' base-pairing, i.e. permitting non-standard base-pairing at the 3rd anti-codon position. Lineage: Bacteria; Pseudomonadati; Pseudomonadota; Alphaproteobacteria; Rhodospirillales; Rhodospirillaceae. The record is from RNAcentral.
GCGGGUGUAGCUCAGUUGGUUAGAGCGCUUGAUUGUGGAUCAAGAAGUCGGCGGUUCAAAUCCGCUCACUCGCCCCA